GCAUCAGUAGCACUGUUAGCAUCCAAAGAUGCAAACAGUUUAGGGGAAGGAAGUGAAGAUGAAACCAUAGCAGAUAGCCGGGAGGGUGAAAGUGUGCGUAGGUUACGUCGAAAGAUGACAUGUGGAGUGGUCUGGAAACAACAAAAGAAGGAUUUACACAAGCUCCAGUCUGGAUCCAGAACACCUGAGAAGAGCUGAUGCUGACCCUAAGAGGACCUCAGAUGAUGCUAACCCUGAAUCAACAAACAGAACUAACAAAUAUUGCUAUAAGUGUGACUGCAUCAUAUAAUAAUUAUUAAUUAAUAAUAUUAAUAAUGUUCAUCGUCUGGCUGACUACGUCUUGUAUUAAUUUUUAAAAAAAUCCUGUCAAACUUGCACAAACUGAGAGUCACCACCAUAAGCUACUACUAAAUAUUGUAGAAACAUAAUUUUCUGUAAAGUUGCUUUGUAACGAUUUGUAUUGUAAAAAGCGCUAUACAAAUAAACUUGAAUUGAAUUCUAUACCCCAACUGAAAUGAUGCAUUUUAAAUUAGAAUAUUAUUUAAGCACAAAAUUCGAAUUAAGUUUUUCAGCCAUUUUGACAGCCCUAAAAAACUAACUAAAUUGCUAAAAUUAAAACUGCAAAAAUAAAAAUAAAAACAACUUCUAAAUAUUGAUAAAUACUACAAUAGCAUAUAAAUACUACUAAAACAACAUUGGCCUCAAGAAACAGUGACCAGGUUUUAGAAAAUACCACUCUACAGAAACAGCCCUGGUAAAGGUUUUAAAUGAUAUUUUAUUAACUGCUGACUCUGGCAAGUCUGCGGUGCUAGUGCUAAUGCAGUGUUUGACACAGCUGACCAUGCAGUUCUCAUUUCACGACUUUCGGAAAAAUGCUCUUAAAAGGUUUCAGUCUUAUCUUUAUAACAGAAGCUUUUUUGUUAAUAUUGGAGAAUUCAGGACAGGUGCUGCUCCUCUUACUUGCGGCGUCCCACAAGGCUCUAUCCUUGCUCCAAUUUUAUUUUCACUUUAUAUGCUUUGGAAACUCAUCAGUUUUGAGUGCGUGCACGAUCUUUGACUAAAUUCUGUGAAUUCUUUCAUCAUAAACAACAAAGCGCUGAUGCAUGUACAAUGUUAGUAAGAGAUUAAUUUCACAGUGUAUACAGCUUCAGUGACUAUAACAAUAGUUUUUUAUUUUGUUCAUUUUUUGAGAGUAAUAAAACUCACGAUAGAUCAAUGUUAGUGAUAAUGUCACUUUCUAUAUAUAAUUUAUUCGCUGUUCGAAUAACCGUGGAAAAGGAAAUGUUAUAUAGCAUAAUUAUACAUUUCUGAUGUUCUUAUUAAAUUGUAAUAAUGUUAAAUACAAAUUCAGCGCCAUUAAACAUAUGUGAUCUUAGACAACAAAACCAGUCUCAAAUCUGAAAGCUGAAUAAAUCAUCUUUCCAUUGAUGUAUGGUUUGUUAUGAGGACAAUAUUUGUGUGAGAU
Molecule: long non-coding RNA, 1465 nt
Organism: Carassius gibelio (silver crucian carp)
Lineage: Eukaryota; Metazoa; Chordata; Actinopteri; Cypriniformes; Cyprinidae
Exons: 3
Source: RefSeq, a predicted model, not a curated record